RNAcentral lists this ribosomal RNA (371 nucleotides) under uncultured bacterium. Its description in RNAcentral is "bacterial SSU rRNA". It matches the Rfam family "Bacterial small subunit ribosomal RNA", at positions 527 to 896 of the family's 1533-position model. The record is from RNAcentral.
GGAGGGUGCAAGCGUUGUUCGGGAUUACUGGGCGUAAAGCGCGUGUAGGUGGUUGAGUAAGUCGAAUGUGAAAGCCCCGGGCUCAACCCGGGAAGUGCAUCCGAAACUGCUCGACUAGAGUCCCGGAGAGGAAGGCAGAAUUCCCAAUGUAGGGGUGAAAUCCGUAGAUAUUGGGAGGAAUACCGGUGGCGAAGGCGGCUUUCUGGACGGUGCCUGACACUCAGACGCGAAAGCGUGGGGAGCAAACAGGAUUAGAUACCCUGGUAGUCCACGCUGUAAACGUUGCGAACUAGGUGUCGGGGGUAUUCACCCCUCCGGUGCCGCAGCUAACGCAUUAAGUGCCCCGCCUGGGGAGUACGACCGCAAGGUUG